GACGUAGGGGGCGAGCGUUGCCCGGAUUCACUGGGCGUAAAGCGCGUGUAGGCGGUCUGUUAAGUCGGAUGUGAAAGCUCCGGGCUCAACUCGGAAAUUGCAUCCGAUACUGGCAGACUUGAGGACGGUAGAGGUCGGUGGAAUACCAGGUGUACCGGUGAAAUGGGCAGAUAUGUGGAACACCAGUGGCGAAGGCGGCCGACUGGGCCGAUCCUGACGCUGAGACGCGAAAGCCAGGGUAGCGAACCGG
RNAcentral lists this ribosomal RNA (250 nucleotides) under uncultured bacterium. RNAcentral's name for it is "partial 16S ribosomal RNA". It matches the Rfam family "Bacterial small subunit ribosomal RNA", at positions 524 to 776 of the family's 1533-position model. The record is from RNAcentral.